RNAcentral lists this ribosomal RNA (465 nucleotides) under uncultured bacterium. RNAcentral's name for it is "partial 16S ribosomal RNA". It matches the Rfam family "Bacterial small subunit ribosomal RNA", at positions 339 to 795 of the family's 1533-position model. The record is from RNAcentral.
CUACGGGAUGCUGCAGUGGGGAAUAUUGGACAAUGGGGGAAACCCUGAUCCAGCAAUGCCGCGUGUGUGAAGAAGGCCUGCGGGUUGUAAAGCACUUUCGGUUGGGAGGACUGCUUCUAGCACUAAUAUUGUUGGAAGUUGACGUUACCUUCAGAAGAAGCACCGGCUAACUCCGUGCCAGCAGCCGCGGUAGUACGGAGGGUGCAAGCGUUAAUCGGAAUUACUGGGCGUAAAGCGCGCGUAGGCGGCUAGAUCAGUCGGGUGUGAAAGCCCCGGGCUUAACCUGGGAACUGCAUCCGAUACUGUCUAGCUUGAGUACAGGAGAGGAGAGUGGAAUUCCACAUGUAGCGGUGAAAUGCGUAGAUAUGUGGAGGAACACCAAUGGCGAAGGCAGCUCCCUGGCCUGAUACUGACGCUGAGGUGCGAAAGCGUGGGGAGCAAACAGGAUUAGAUACCCUCGUAGUC